RNAcentral lists this ribosomal RNA (1550 nucleotides) under Klebsiella pneumoniae. RNAcentral's name for it is "bacterial SSU rRNA". It matches the Rfam family "Bacterial small subunit ribosomal RNA". Lineage: Bacteria; Pseudomonadati; Pseudomonadota; Gammaproteobacteria; Enterobacterales; Enterobacteriaceae. The record is from RNAcentral.
AAAUUGAAGAGUUUGAUCAUGGCUCAGAUUGAACGCUGGCGGCAGGCCUAACACAUGCAAGUCGAGCGGUAGCACAGAGAGCUUGCUCUCGGGUGACGAGCGGCGGACGGGUGAGUAAUGUCUGGGAAACUGCCUGAUGGAGGGGGAUAACUACUGGAAACGGUAGCUAAUACCGCAUAAUGUCGCAAGACCAAAGUGGGGGACCUUCGGGCCUCAUGCCAUCAGAUGUGCCCAGAUGGGAUUAGCUAGUAGGUGGGGUAACGGCUCACCUAGGCGACGAUCCCUAGCUGGUCUGAGAGGAUGACCAGCCACACUGGAACUGAGACACGGUCCAGACUCCUACGGGAGGCAGCAGUGGGGAAUAUUGCACAAUGGGCGCAAGCCUGAUGCAGCCAUGCCGCGUGUGUGAAGAAGGCCUUCGGGUUGUAAAGCACUUUCAGCGGGGAGGAAGGCGAUAAGGUUAAUAACCUUGUCGAUUGACGUUACCCGCAGAAGAAGCACCGGCUAACUCCGUGCCAGCAGCCGCGGUAAUACGGAGGGUGCAAGCGUUAAUCGGAAUUACUGGGCGUAAAGCGCACGCAGGCAGUCUGUCAAGUCGGAUGUGAAAUCCCCGGGCUCAACCUGGGAACUGCAUUCGAAACUGGCAGGCUAGAGUCUUGUAGAGGGGGGUAGAAUUCCAGGUGUAGCGGUGAAAUGCGUAGAGAUCUGGAGGAAUACCGGUGGCGAAGGCGGCCCCCUGGACAAAGACUGACGCUCAGGUGCGAAAGCGUGGGGAGCAAACAGGAUUAGAUACCCUGGUAGUCCACGCCGUAAACGAUGUCGAUUUGGAGGUUGUGCCCUUGAGGCGUGGCUUCCGGAGCUAACGCGUUAAAUCGACCGCCUGGGGAGUACGGCCGCAAGGUUAAAACUCAAAUGAAUUGACGGGGGCCCGCACAAGCGGUGGAGCAUGUGGUUUAAUUCGAUGCAACGCGAAGAACCUUACCUGGUCUUGACAUCCACAGAACUUUCCAGAGAUGGAUUGGUGCCUUCGGGAACUGUGAGACAGGUGCUGCAUGGCUGUCGUCAGCUCGUGUUGUGAAAUGUUGGGUUAAGUCCCGCAACGAGCGCAACCCUUAUCCUUUGUUGCCAGCGGUUAGGCCGGGAACUCAAAGGAGACUGCCAGUGAUAAACUGGAGGAAGGUGGGGAUGACGUCAAGUCAUCAUGGCCCUUACGACCAGGGCUACACACGUGCUACAAUGGCAUAUACAAAGAGAAGCGACCUCGCGAGAGCAAGCGGACCUCAUAAAGUAUGUCGUAGUCCGGAUUGGAGUCUGCAACUCGACUCCAUGAAGUCGGAAUCGCUAGUAAUCGUAGAUCAGAAUGCUACGGUGAAUACGUUCCCGGGCCUUGUACACACCGCCCGUCACACCAUGGGAGUGGGUUGCAAAAGAAGUAGGUAGCUUAACCUUCGGGAGGGCGCUUACCACUUUGUGAUUCAUGACUGGGGUGAAGUCGUAACAAGGUAACCGUAGGGGAACCUGCGGUUGGAUCACCUCCUUACCUUAAAGAA